This 244-nucleotide ribosomal RNA is filed under the name Salmonella enterica subsp. enterica serovar Typhimurium. Its description in RNAcentral is "partial 23S ribosomal RNA". It matches the Rfam family "Bacterial large subunit ribosomal RNA", at positions 517 to 658 of the family's 2925-position model. Lineage: Bacteria; Pseudomonadati; Pseudomonadota; Gammaproteobacteria; Enterobacterales; Enterobacteriaceae. The record is from RNAcentral.
AAAAGAACCCCGGCGAGGGGAGUGAAAAAGAACCUGAAACCGUGUACGUACAAGCAGUGGGAGCCCCACCACCAAAGCAUUCUCUGGUGUUGAAGGCCCUGCAAAGCAGCAUCGCGGUGGCGGAGCGUCGUUUGCGACGCCCAACACACAAAACAAGCGGUGAAUGCUUUGGGGUGGGGUGACUGCGUACCUUUUGUAUAAUGGGUCAGCGACUUAUAUUCUGUAGCAAGGUUAACCGAAUAGG